This 501-nucleotide non-coding RNA is filed under the name Pongo abelii (Sumatran orangutan). Lineage: Eukaryota; Metazoa; Chordata; Mammalia; Primates; Hominidae. The record is from RNAcentral.
CUCUUUCAACGCAUCUCAAAAUUUGGCGUGCAUGCAGAUCACCUGCAGAGUAUGAUUAUUCAUCUUUACAUUGCCUUGUUUUGAGGGUCUCUGUUGCCCAGGAUGGAGUGCAGUGGCACAGUGACGGCUCAAUACAGCGUUCACCUCCCGGGCAUAGGUGAUUCUUCCACCUCAGCCUCCGGAGUAUCUGGGACUACAGGCGUGCACCACCACGUCCAGCUAAUUUUUGUAUUUUUUGUAGAGACAGGGUCUUACCAUGUUGCCCAAAGUAGUCUGGAACUCCCGGGAUCACGAAAUCCUCCCUCCUUGUCCUCCCAAAGUGCUGGGAUUACAGGUGUGAGCCACCACACCUGGCCUAUUACUGAUAUACAAAUAGUGUUUUGUAUAUUGUUUUCACUUAAUAAUGAACAUUUUUCUGUAUCAGCAAAUAUCCAUCUGCUUCCACUUGAAUAACUGCAUAAUACUCGAUUUAUCUUAUCACAUAUUAAACCAAUAUCCUGU